GGAGCUUGCUCCACCGGAAAAAGAAGAGUGGCGAACGGGUGAGUAACACGUGGGUAACCUGCCCAUCAGAAGGGGAUAACACUUGGAAACAGGUGCUAAUACCGUAUAACAAUCGAAACCGCAUGGUUUUGAUUUGAAAGGCGCUUUCGGGUGUCGCUGAUGGAUGGACCCGCGGUGCAUUAGCUAGUUGGUGAGGUAACGGCUCACCAAGGCCACGAUGCAUAGCCGACCUGAGAGGGUGAUCGGCCACAUUGGGACUGAGACACGGCCCAAACUCCUACGGGAGGCAGCAGUAGGGAAUCUUCGGCAAUGGACGAAAGUCUGACCGAGCAACGCCGCGUGAGUGAAGAAGGUUUUCGGAUCGUAAAACUCUGUUGUUAGAGAAGAACAAGGAUGAGAGUAACUGUUCAUCCCUUGACGGUAUCUAACCAGAAAGCCACGGCUAACUACGUGCCAGCAGCCGCGGUAAUACGUAGGUGGCAAGCGUUGUCCGGAUUUAUUGGGCGUAAAGCGAGCGCAGGCGGUUUCUUAAGUCUGAUGUGAAAGCCCCCGGCUCAACCGGGGAGGGUCAUUGGAAACUGGGAGACUUGAGUGCAGAAGAGGAGAGUGGAAUUCCAUGUGUAGCGGUGAAAUGCGUAGAUAUAUGGAGGAACACCAGUGGCGAAGGCGGCUCUCUGGUCUGUAACUGACGCUGAGGCUCGAAAGCGUGGGGAGCAAACAGGAUUAGAUACCCUGGUAGUCCACGCCGUAAACGAUGAGUGCUAAGUGUUGGAGGGUUUCCGCCCUUCAGUGCUGCAGCUAACGCAUUAAGCACUCCGCCUGGGGAGUACGACCGCAAGGUUGAAACUCAAAGGAAUUGACGGGGGCCCGCACAAGCGGUGGAGCAUGUGGUUUAAUUCGAAGCAACGCGAAGAACCUUACCAGGUCUUGACAUCCUUUGACCACUCUAGAGAUAGAGCUUCCCCUUUGGGGGCAAAGUGACAGGUGGUGCAUGGUUGUUGUCAGCUCGUGUCGUGAGAUGUUGGGUUAAGUCCCGCAACGAGCGCAACCCUUAUUGUUAGUUGCCAUCAUUCAGUUGGGCACUCUAGCAAGACUGCCGGUGACAAACCGGAGGAAGGUGGGGAUGACGUCAAAUCAUCAUGCCCCUUAUGACCUGGGCUA
This 1161-nucleotide ribosomal RNA is filed under the name Enterococcus durans. RNAcentral describes it as "bacterial SSU rRNA". It matches the Rfam family "Bacterial small subunit ribosomal RNA", at positions 75 to 1216 of the family's 1533-position model. The record is from RNAcentral. Lineage: Bacteria; Bacillati; Bacillota; Bacilli; Lactobacillales; Enterococcaceae.